This 594-nucleotide ribosomal RNA is filed under the name Triticum aestivum (bread wheat). Its description in RNAcentral is "partial small subunit ribosomal RNA". Lineage: Eukaryota; Viridiplantae; Streptophyta; Magnoliopsida; Poales; Poaceae. The record is from RNAcentral.
AUGCCACCAAAGAAGCGCCUGCACCUGUCGCCCGCUCUUCCCAAGCUGGAAGACUAUGUCGAGGAAGCUGCUCCUGCUGUCUCUACCUCUGGCACAGAAGGUAGCAUGGAUGAUUCUGAGGAGGAAGUUGGCGACAGCAGCAGCAGCGGCGGGGACAAUGAAGAUGGUGGCAGCCAUUCGUCGCAAGUUGACGGUGCCGACAUGGACGACCCAUCCAAAGUGCACAUCUUUGUCAAGAAUCUCGCCGGCAGGAAAAUCUGUCUUAGAGGGGUCCACUUGUCAGACACCGUUUACACCAUCAAGGCAAAGAUCCAGGAGCAGUACCGCCUCGUCUUUGACGGGGUGCAGCUGGAAGACAGCCGUACAUUGGCUGAUUAUGGCAUCAAGCAUGAUUCCAUGCUUGACCUCCAAGAAAAGAUGCAAAUCUUCGUGACGGAGACGCUGAAAGGAAGGACCAUCACUCUUGAGGUCGACAGCCUAGACACCAUUGACAAGGUGAAGUCCAAGAUCGAAGACAUUGAGAGCUUUCGGCAGGAGAGAGUAGUAUCACUAGUAGAAAAGGGGGCAAUGGUCCAGGCCGGGUCAGCCCAUUAG